GUGAGGCUACCGAACGUUGGAAACAGCGGUUAGGAGCUUNNNNNNNCCGUGUUUACAUACUAUUGUUGCUUUGGCGGGCCGUGGCCUCCACUGCGGGCUCUGCUCGUGUGUGCCCGCCAGAGAACCAAACUCUGAAUGUUAGUGAUGUCUGAGUACUAUCUAAUAGUUAAAACUUUCAACAACGGAUCUCUUGGUUCUGGCAUCGAUGAAGAACGCAGCGAAAUGCGAUAAGUAAUGUGAAUUGCAGAAUUCAGUGAAUCAUCGAAUCUUUGAACGCACAUUGCGCCCUGUGGUAUUCCGCAGGGCAUGCCUGUUCGAGCGUCAUUUAACCACUCACGCCUAGCGUGGUAUUGGGGCACGCGGUCUCCGCGGCCCUCAAAAUUAGUGGCGGCGCCGGUGGGCUCUAAGCGUAGUACAUACUCCCGCUAUAGAGUUCCCCCCGGUGGCUCGCCAGAACCCCCAAUUUUUUACAGGUUGACCUCGGAUCNNNUAGGGAUACCCGCUGAACUUAA
RNAcentral lists this ribosomal RNA (512 nucleotides) under uncultured Phialocephala. RNAcentral's name for it is "eukaryotic LSU rRNA". The stretch from base 171 to 324 matches the Rfam family "5.8S ribosomal RNA". Lineage: Eukaryota; Fungi; Ascomycota; Leotiomycetes; Helotiales. The record is from RNAcentral.